RNAcentral lists this non-coding RNA (108 nucleotides) under Vibrio sp. RNAcentral describes it as "Glycine sequence". It matches the Rfam family "Glycine riboswitch aptamer". Rfam says of the family: This family represents the bacterial glycine riboswitch. Glycine riboswitches usually consist of two metabolite-binding aptamers domains with similar structures in tandem. The aptamers cooperatively bind glycine to regulate the expression of downstream genes. The record is from RNAcentral. Lineage: Bacteria; Pseudomonadati; Pseudomonadota; Gammaproteobacteria; Vibrionales; Vibrionaceae.
GGAGGAACCUCUGGAGAGAACCGUUAAAUCGGUCGCCGAAGGAGCAAGUCCUACAUUGUUUCAACAAUGCAGGGUGAAACUCUCAGGCAAAAGGACAGAGGAGUGGAA